UCCAAUUGGCAGUUGAAGAAAUUAAUCGACGUUUAAAAGUUGAAUGGCCAGCCACGUGACGACGUAAUAAAUUUAAAUCCAUAGAUUCUCUUCCUCCUGAUGAUUGGUGUUAAUGGAUCUAUGACCACCACCCAUGUGAUAUGCCCAUCAGUCACUAUUUGAUAUUCUUUGUCACCAAACCUGUUUCUUCAGGUUGGCGUGAAUGGAAUUUCCAGUAUUGGGAUGCUUUCAACAACAUGAAUGAGGUAAUGGCUCCUGAUGCGCGAACAUUCUUAGCCAUGCCAUGCUCAUUGCGUGGCUUAAAACAACGCGGCCCUUCUAAACCCACACGUAUCGGAACUCAUGCUCAAUCUCCGAUGUGCUUCUUUGGGAAUAUCUCCUGCAAGGUAGAGCUCCCAAGCCCACCUCGAUCACGAGUGAAACAUGAAAUUAAUGCUCCAUCUGUAAACUACUACUCCUGCUACAUGCGAUUUCCACAGCCACUACUCCAAAACUAAACGUGUCCGAUUCUUUAGUACUGGCCAUAUAUCCGUUCAUUUGCAAGCUCUGGCGCCAAUGACACAAGUCCCUACCGCACAAGUUCUACGAGUCCUCAACCAGGGUUUCACCAACGUAGCAACCCCAAAAUCACCAAGCUUAGUGCUGAAUUCUGUCCCCAACAGUACGUUGGCAGACGAUGUCUCAAUGACGACACAUUACAGCUCCACUUCUUCAUGGAGAUCAUGUAAUGAAGAGCUGAGGCCGAACUUUUACCUAUCCUGCAUCUGGCAGUUUCUUCAUUGCCAAAGUGCAGGGUCGAGGCUGCCAGUAGGCAUAAACUAGCAAGAAUUGGCCUUGCUCAUGACUUAGUCGGGCUGCACCAGGUUUCGAUUUAUUAGGCGACAUAUUAUCUUCACAUCGUUGAUGAAAAUUGAAAGUGUUCAGGUUCAGCGAAGAUUCUCUUCACAGCAACCCGGCGGCCUCCUAAUACACUCUGUAGACUUGACCAGCCCCUCGUCCCAGGCAUCUACCAUAGGAAAAAUCUUCGCUGCGGCUAGUUCUGGGCAAGAAAAUUUCCUUGGCAACGCUCCUCUGGCGUUUCUCAACAUUUGUACUUACGGAGGAGUCUGAAUUCUGAUCAUUUCCAUGGCUGUGAUCAUUAAUAUCAGUUCUCCUCCUCUUCAGAACCAACCAGCCGAUGUCCGCUGGAAGCAUCACAAUCAUGAAACUCGCAGCAACAGACGUCAAAAUUAUCCUCUUCAUUUUGCUGAAGCUUACCUUCAAGGAAUUUAAAAUUUUGUCAAAAUCCCAUGAACGAACAGAAUGCCGCUCAAGAUUCGAGCCUGUAGAAGCCGAGAAAUCAAUCUUCACACAGUGGGGACAGAACUUCUUUUAGAUCAACCUUGCAAGAAAGAGAAGAGUUACCAUGAAAACAAGGUUUUUCAAAUAAGUCCACAACAACCUGAGGUUCUUGGUUGAAGCUUAGUAAGUUUUCCACUUUAAGAUAAAUUUUUGGCUGGGUGGCUAUUUCACCGCAUUGUAUUCCUAUUUUUCCCGCAGACCAACAUUCGAAUACAGUAAAAUUUAGCCUUGCAUUCCCGUAAGGCCAAAUUGAUCAACGUUGGACCA
Carya illinoinensis is the source of this 1608-nucleotide long non-coding RNA. RefSeq lists it as uncharacterized. Lineage: Eukaryota; Viridiplantae; Streptophyta; Magnoliopsida; Fagales; Juglandaceae. The record is from RefSeq and is a predicted model, not a curated record. The transcript has 2 exons.